Molecule: long non-coding RNA, 620 nt
Organism: Beta vulgaris subsp. vulgaris (sugar beet)
Lineage: Eukaryota; Viridiplantae; Streptophyta; Magnoliopsida; Caryophyllales; Amaranthaceae
Exons: 3
Source: RefSeq, a predicted model, not a curated record
AAAAACCACGUUAGUACAAAACGGGCCCUAAUAUUAUUAUAAAAUCUUGUAUGGGUAGGAUUUUUACCUGAACAUAGGGAUUGAAGGAUUUUCCCGGGCUAAAUUACCCCCCCUGAAUCCUGAUGUAAAGUAGCGACGUCUAAAGAAAACGAAUUCACCGAACUGAAAUCGCGGAGAGCUAAUUUUGCCUGAGACACAAAAUACCUUACCUUUGUCUAGGAUACUAUUUGAUGAUCUUUUUGUCAAUAAAUGGAAUACUUCAGCACAUCCUCAAAAUUUUCCAGAAGUGGGUAAAUGCAAAAGCAUUACAACUAUAUGGAACUCAGAGCAAGUUGAUGCAUCAAUUUGUCACUGGAUUCUUUUUAAAUACCGGUACGAAGUACUUAGAAGAUGACAUAAAUAAAAAAAUUCAAAUCAAGAUCUUCCCAGGAUCAAUAUGCAUGCUUGAAAAGGUUUUCAAAUAAAAGUUGGAUUGUAUCCUGAUCUCAAGAACUGGCUUAGCUAACUGGAAGUUUGCACGUUGUAUCGUGAUCGAAAUCGAAUGCGUGGAUUCUGAAUGGAGUUUUUCAAGUCAACAUGAAGAUCCCCUUUCACUAGUGACAUUCAUGGAAUGUAACAAG